Molecule: ribosomal RNA, 403 nt
Filed under: Klebsiella pneumoniae
Lineage: Bacteria; Pseudomonadati; Pseudomonadota; Gammaproteobacteria; Enterobacterales; Enterobacteriaceae
Description: bacterial SSU rRNA
Rfam family: Bacterial small subunit ribosomal RNA
Source: RNAcentral
GAAACUGCCUGAUGGAGGGGGAUAACUACUGGAAACGGUAGCUAAUACCGCAUAACGUCGCAAGACCAAAGUGGGGGACCUUCGGGCCUCAUGCCAUCAGAUGUGCCCAGAUGGGAUUAGCUAGUAGGUGGGGUAACGGCUCACCUAGGCGACGAUCCCUAGCUGGUCUGAGAGGAUGACCAGCCACACUGGAACUGAGACACGGUCCAGACUCCUACGGGAGGCAGCAGUGGGGAAUAUUGCACAAUGGGCGCAAGCCUGAUGCAGCCAUGCCGCGUGUGUGAAGAAGGCCUUCGGGUUGUAAAGCACUUUCAGCGGGGAGGAAGGCGGUAAGGUUAAUAACCUUGGCGAUUGACGUUACCCGCAGAAGAAGCACCGGCUAACUCCGUGCCAGCAGCCGCGG